RNAcentral lists this transfer RNA (82 nucleotides) under Staphylococcus aureus. RNAcentral describes it as "tRNA-Leu". It matches the Rfam family "tRNA". Rfam says of the family: Transfer RNA (tRNA) molecules are approximately 80 nucleotides in length. Their secondary structure includes four short double-helical elements and three loops (D, anti-codon, and T loops). The record is from RNAcentral. Lineage: Bacteria; Bacillati; Bacillota; Bacilli; Caryophanales; Staphylococcaceae.
GCGGGUGUGGCGGAAUUGGCAGACGCACUAGACUUAGGAUCUAGCGCCUUACGGCGUGGGGGUUCGACUCCCUUUACCCGCA